RNAcentral lists this microRNA precursor (78 nucleotides) under Heterocephalus glaber (naked mole-rat). RNAcentral's name for it is "mir-653 microRNA precursor family". It matches the Rfam family "mir-653 microRNA precursor family". Lineage: Eukaryota; Metazoa; Chordata; Mammalia; Rodentia; Bathyergidae. The record is from Rfam by way of RNAcentral.
UCCUUCAGUGUUGAAACACUCUCUACUGAACCAGGCUGCAAACCAAGUUCACUGGGGUUUGUUUCAAUAUUGCAAGAA